RNAcentral lists this ribosomal RNA (363 nucleotides) under uncultured Anoxybacillus sp. Its description in RNAcentral is "bacterial SSU rRNA". It matches the Rfam family "Bacterial small subunit ribosomal RNA", at positions 1019 to 1382 of the family's 1533-position model. Lineage: Bacteria; Bacillati; Bacillota; Bacilli; Caryophanales; Anoxybacillaceae. The record is from RNAcentral.
GGGGGGACAGGGUUGACAGGUGGUGCAUGGUUUGUCGUCAGCUCGUGUCGUGAGAUGUUGGGUUAAGUCCCGCAACGAGCGCAACCCUCGACCUUAGUUGCCAGCAUUCAGUUGGGCACUCUAAGGUGACUGCCGGCUAAAAGUCGGAGGAAGGUGGGGAUGACGUCAAAUCAUCAUGCCCCUUAUGACCUGGGCUACACACGUGCUACAAUGGGCGGUACAAAGGGUCGCGAACCCGCGAGGGGGAGCCAAUCCCAAAAAGCCGCUCUCAGUUCGGAUUGCAGGCUGCAACUCGCCUGCAUGAAGCCGGAAUCGCUAGUAAUCGCGGAUCAGCAUGCCGCGGUGAAUACGUUCCCGGGCCUU